AAGUGCUAAAGAAAAAUCGCCGUUAAAGCAGUUUUCUUUUUCACUGUCUUUUUCUUUUCGCAGGGAACCAAGCUGUUCCUGCGAGGGCCACCUCCUCAGGAAGACCCCGCAGCUCUCCCGAGGCGCUUCUGCAGGAAGCAGCGCCAGUUUCGACAACCCGGGCCUUCCCCUUCCAGUGCCUCCGGGGGUUCCGGCGUCUCGGGCGCUGCUGUUUUCCGGGAAGGGCAGGCGCGCUGGGCCUUGGGGAGCUGCGCUCGGCGGGCGGACUCGGGGAAUCAUGGAAGCUGAUAAAGACAACACACAACAAAUUCUUAAGGAGCAUUCGCCAGAUGAAUUUAUAAAAGAUGAACAAAAUAAGGUAAAAAGGAAAUUACUGGGUAUUAUUAAAAAUUAUUUUAUAUCUAUUAGUUUUGCAGUAAGGUUGUUUUGUAUGUCUUUGUCCAACAUUACCUUG
RNAcentral lists this small RNA (454 nucleotides) under Pongo abelii (Sumatran orangutan). RNAcentral describes it as "retained intron". Lineage: Eukaryota; Metazoa; Chordata; Mammalia; Primates; Hominidae. The record is from RNAcentral.